Molecule: ribosomal RNA, 240 nt
Filed under: uncultured Thauera sp.
Lineage: Bacteria; Pseudomonadati; Pseudomonadota; Betaproteobacteria; Rhodocyclales; Zoogloeaceae
Description: partial 16S ribosomal RNA
Rfam family: Bacterial small subunit ribosomal RNA
Source: RNAcentral
GAGACUGCCGGUGACAAACCCGGGAGGAAGGUGGGGAUGACGUCAAGUCCUCAUGGCCCUUAUGGGUAGGGCUUCACACGUCAUACAAUGGUCGGUACAGAGGGUUGCCAAGCCGUGAGGUGGAGCCAAUCCCUUAAAGCCGAUCGUAGUCCGGAUCGUAGUCUGCAACUCGACUACGUGAAGUUGGAAUCGCUAGUAAUCGCGGAUCAGCAUGCCGCGGUGAAUACGUUCCCGGGCCUU